RNAcentral lists this long non-coding RNA (316 nucleotides) under Gossypium raimondii (Peruvian cotton). RNAcentral describes it as "long non-coding RNA (GRAI_LNC000778)". The record is from RNAcentral. Lineage: Eukaryota; Viridiplantae; Streptophyta; Magnoliopsida; Malvales; Malvaceae.
AACAUCCCCAUAUCCCCCCUCUUUCUCGCUUUCCUCUGUCCCCUUUUUCCCCUUCCUUUCCCUUUAUCCUCAUCUGCCACCCUCACCUUUGAGCCGCAGCCCUCCCUUUGCCCUCACAGCACCAAUCCCUCACCUUUGACCUUCCUCCCCUCGCCACGUUGCGCCCCUCCAUCUCGCACCACACCCUUACACACGACCCCCUUCAUCCCCGAGCCCCACAUCCCUUUACCCAUUCUCGUCAACCCUGUGCCCCUCCCCAUCACCGUUGACCACCACCUACUCCUCUUCGCUUUUACCGUGUCCCUUCCUCUCACCG